RNAcentral lists this unclassified non-coding RNA (429 nucleotides) under fungal sp. Its description in RNAcentral is "partial internal transcribed spacer region". The stretch from base 1 to 46 matches the Rfam family "Eukaryotic small subunit ribosomal RNA", at positions 1786 to 1831 of the family's 1831-position model. The record is from RNAcentral. Lineage: Eukaryota; Fungi.
AAGUCGUAACAAGGUUUCCGUAGGUGAACCUGCGGAAGGAUCAUUACAAAAAUUUUCCAAACGAGAAGUCGCCCAGGGGGGUUUUGGUAGAGAGCUUAAAAAACUCUCUCCUUCCCCUGGGUUAGGAGAAGGGGGAAGUCUUGGGCUUUUAUUAGCUUUUUGAUUUCCCGUCCACUCCAACCCUUAUAAACUCCUUGUGCUUUGUUGACCCUUGAAUUGGGGUCUUCAUAUGCACAAUUAAUACCCUUUGGGUAUUUUACCUUUUUGUAUUUUUGAUUAGAAAAUAAAAAAAAAGGCAUAGCCCUUGUUUUUCAAAGUUGGAGUAACAAAUAGAGAACUCUCUUAUGUUUUCCUUCUUUUCUAAACCAGUGUGUGAUUGCUUUUUUAUAAAUCUAAAUAAAACUUUCAACAACGGAUCUCUUGGCUCUC